GAGGGUAUAGCUCAGUGAUAGAGCACAUGCUUAACAUGCACAAGACCCUGGGUUCAAUCCCCAGGACCUCCA
Molecule: transfer RNA, 72 nt
Filed under: Camelus ferus (Wild Bactrian camel)
Lineage: Eukaryota; Metazoa; Chordata; Mammalia; Artiodactyla; Camelidae
Rfam family: tRNA
About the family: Transfer RNA (tRNA) molecules are approximately 80 nucleotides in length. Their secondary structure includes four short double-helical elements and three loops (D, anti-codon, and T loops). Further hydrogen bonds mediate the characteristic L-shaped molecular structure. tRNAs have two regions of fundamental functional importance: the anti-codon, which is responsible for specific mRNA codon recognition, and the 3' end, to which the tRNAs corresponding amino acid is attached (by aminoacyl-tRNA synthetases). tRNAs cope with the degeneracy of the genetic code in two manners: having more than one tRNA (with a specific anti-codon) for a particular amino acid; and 'wobble' base-pairing, i.e. permitting non-standard base-pairing at the 3rd anti-codon position.
Source: Rfam by way of RNAcentral